Molecule: long non-coding RNA, 139 nt
Organism: Lolium rigidum
Lineage: Eukaryota; Viridiplantae; Streptophyta; Magnoliopsida; Poales; Poaceae
Exons: 3
Source: RefSeq, a predicted model, not a curated record
AGGGGGCAUCGCCUAGUGAAGAAACAAGGUCCCAAGAAGCCAGACACAGAAGCUAUCCUAGUGGCCUUGAAGAGCCUCUACAGGGAUCCAAGAGCCGAGUCAAACAAUGACGCGCUGGAAAUGUUGGUGGAUUUCCUUG